UAAAGGAGACCUACCCGCUCAGAUAUUGAAAACAGUUUGUGAUUAGAUAUUGAGUUGGUCAUCCUAAAGGUCGGUCGCGACAGUUGUAUAUUACUUUCAAACUAUAUUUUGGUUCGUAUGGGCUAUUAGCUCAGGUGGUUAGAGCGCACCCCUGAUAAGGGUGAGGUCCCUGGUUCGAGUCCAGGAUGGCCCACCUGAAAACAGUGAGCAGUGAACAGUAAACAGUGAUCAAGGAAAAAACUGAUAACUGGUAACUGAUAACUGACAUCUGAAUUUUGGGGGUUUAGCUCAGUUGGUAGAGCGCCUGCUUUGCAAGCAGGAUGUCAGCGGUCCGAGUCCGCUAACCUCCACCAGUAAAGUAAAAGUGGUAAAGAAUUCAGCAACUGAGCAAUAUUUGCCAGACUGCUGGAUAUACUUCCAGCAAUUGAACCUUGAAAACUGCAUAGUGAUAGCGAAUAAGCAGGCAGACACAGACACUCAGAUAAUUUGAGUUGUGUUUGCAUUGAUUGAUAACCAAUUGUUGAAGU
RNAcentral lists this transfer RNA (527 nucleotides) under Tolypothrix sp. JOH20C. RNAcentral's name for it is "16S-23S riboomal RNA intergenic spacer". The stretch from base 278 to 350 matches the Rfam family "tRNA". The record is from RNAcentral. Lineage: Bacteria; Bacillati; Cyanobacteriota; Cyanophyceae; Nostocales; Tolypothrichaceae.